GUGCUCCUUCGGCAGCACAUACAGUAAAACUGGAACGAUACAGAGAAUAUUAGUGUGGUCCCUGUGCAAGUACGACACAAAUUCAUGAAGCACUCCAUACUUUA
Molecule: small nuclear RNA, 104 nt
Filed under: Castor canadensis (American beaver)
Lineage: Eukaryota; Metazoa; Chordata; Mammalia; Rodentia; Castoridae
Source: RNAcentral